UCUAUGGUGAAUGGAUUUGGCUCAUAGACAUAAUUUUUGCCCUAUUUCUUACAAUUUGAAUUUUUUGUAUUCUAUUUUAUGCUAUGAACACCUUUGUGGUAGCAUUGCUAAACAUCAAAAUAAGUUUUUUAUCUUCAAUCAGUUAUGUAAAAGCAGAUCUCAGGGUACACAGGAAAUAAUUAUAUUUAUAAAUACCGUAUAUCAUUCUAUUUUUAUGUAAUUUUUGUUCCUAACAUUUUGAAGAACAAAUUCUUUUAACUUUCAAAAAUCUGUCCACAUAAAAACAUCUGUUUAUUUGUUUUUUUUUUUAAUCAUGGCUGGGAUAUUUUCUGCAGAGCUCUAUCUCAAAAUUUAACAAAGUAUUAAAAUUGAAUAAUAUUAAAUUUAAUAAUUGAGAGUACAUUAUCAUUUUGAAAAAUUCCCUGCAUUUUCUAUUCUCCAGUAAAAUAUUAGUUCAUUUUUUAUGGCGCAGUUAUUAAUCACCUUUGCCCACGUAGCCUGGUUGUCUAUCAUCAUACAGUCUUAAUACUUGCUUUCCUGAGAGAAUCUGGUUCUCAUGCUAAGAAAUAGAAAAAGCUUGUGCACGUGACACUUUAUCUCCAAGAAAAAUAAUUCUUGGUUUUCGCUGAAUAUCAUUUAUAAGGCAAGAGAUGGUUAGGUUUUCCAAACGUGAACGGUAAGUGUCCACUUUCAUAGCAUUUUUAGUAAAAGAGGCAGUCUCACUUAGGGGGAAGGCCAUUUUAAUGUUAGGAUCUCCUAGCAGGAAAAGAAGCUUGUCACAUCUCUCUCUAAUAGUGAAGGAUUUCAGUUCCCCUUUAGGCAGACAUUUGCACCUAGUAUUUUCCAAUUCUGUAAUGCAAACAUUCACAGAGAGGUUAAAUACAAUGUUGGCUUGGCAAUAUGUAUGCAGAAAAGCUGCACGCGUUUUGCACAGGCUUCCUCGAAUUUAACCCUGGGUCAACAGACAUGUUUAAAUGUGGACUUGAACAUAAAUGGUGCCUCGAAAAGAGAGUCAACCAGUGGGAAGUUUUUAUAAAAUGUCACAGUCGAUGUACGAACAAGAUCUCGAAAGGAAAAGAAAAAAAAAAGUGGGAAAGAUGUUCCCAAAUCCCUAGGUUGAACACAUAUUUCAUCAUUUUAAUUUGAUUACUAUUCCAAAUCACGAGGAGCCAAAUUGGAGGUACCAUGAUCCACUAACAUUUUCUUUUCUGCUUUCCUGAUAUGUUCUCUCCGUUUCCAACUCUUCUGUUUCCAGCCAGUUGUACCAUAUGAAACUGACAGCAAUUGUUCUGAUUCAUGGUUUAGGAGGAGUAGCUGAUUAAUCCCAUGUCAGCAGUCUUGACCCGACGUGGAAAAUAGAACCUUAGACGGCCCACUCAGCAAUAUAUCAGGCAGCAGAGUUGUGCGGCUUGCCUUGCUCUCAGAUGUAAUGAAAGUUUAGGGCAAUGCUGAACAGUGAUUUGAUGCCCCCUCCCCCCUUUUAACCUAGGUUUCAAAAGAACAUUCUGGCGCAGGGUGAGAAGGCAGUGGGGAGAAAGGGUGACCAAUUAAGAUUUUCUGGGACAAAAUCUUGGUUUCAAAAUAUUUUAUUUGUGUCCUCCAAGAAAUGCUGUAAACAUUUUUUUCCUUAAGCAUAAUUUACCGAUUCAAAAAAAAAAAAAAUAGUAACGGGUUGUAUGUGUUUAUCCUAAACCCUUACAUUUUCAACCUUGGCAUUUUUUUUCUUCCUCUUUGAUGACUAUAGAAUGCCCUUCUUUCUGCCUUUUAGGCAGAGCUCCAGUUGUGCUUAUUAGAAAACAAUUGUAAAGAACUCCAAAUUUCAGAAUAAUGUGUGGUAAGACACGUUCAAUUUUAAAGACAAUGUACAUGUUAUAUUUUAAAAACACAAAAGACAAGCUUGGAGGAAUCCAGUUAGUCCUAAAGAUGGAAGUUUUCCACUAAAGCCUUAAACAAGGCAUGCAUUUCUACUAUAAAUUAGGCAUAAACCUUAGUAUUUUAUAUACAAUCUUCAGAACUUAGAAUUAAAAUAAAGGGAUAAAGUGGAAUUACAUGUUUUUCAAAGAGGACCACAGACACGAAGGGACGAAUGUGCGAAUUUUAUUUACAACGAUAAAGCAGAUUGAAAUGCCAAAGCAACUUGAAAAUCUGUCAAAUAAUGCUAAAUCUGAAAACACAGGGUGCUGGAAAUGGUGGUCACAGAAUACAAGUUGGAUUUCAUUACUGGAAGCCAUGCAUUACUAGUUAAAAAAUGAAAAAAGAAAAAGAAAAGAAAGGAAAAAAGCCCCCCACAACACAGCUACCUAGCAUAACUAGAUAGAGCUGAAAUGUGCUGAAAUCUUCCCGUGCAAACCGCAUAAUAGCAUUUGCAGUGGCCCCUUUCUGUCACCCACCGUAACCAUCAAGCUGGAUUCUGCUGCGGUCAGGUGCUCGGCCUCAGAGCUCUUAGGGUUGGCUGCAGAGAAUUCCGAAGCAAGACACAUUUGUACAAUUUUUCCUUGGACAAUAAUAAAUAGCACUUUGGGAUACAUUUAGAGUUUUUCCUCCAUCAAUUUGAAACAAAGUGUGCAGGAUUUUCUUGUGCAUCCUUCUAAAGAAAACAUUUUAUUUUGACCAGAUCCUUCACCAGGAAUGUGCAGCCCUUUGAUCAAGUAUCAUUUGCAUUUCUGUAUGGGGCAGGGGUUUAUGUUCUUUUCCUACAUACUGUCUACUCCAUGUAUCAUGCUGGUUCCUGUUAGUCAGCGUUUAAAACACUAGGUACCAAGUGUUGCCUAGUGAACAGAAUCCAUAUGUAUAAGCAGAAGACAAUAGGAUAGUGCAAUUUAAAAUUCAAAAUUAAUAGGUCCUUUGAAUGGGACAUAUUUUUACUAUGGGUGUUUUAAAUAAGUAUACGUUCAGAUAUACAAUGCAAUAUUUUGGUUUUUAAAUGCUGCAUCUUCAGAUGAGCCCUGUCUCAUACAUUAAAAAAAAAAAAAAUGUAAAGCAGAACAUGAAAUGCUUCUCAAGGCUUUUCUUCAGAGCCACACACUCUGCACAGACUGUUAAGGUGUGUAGCAUUAAAAAAUAAUAAUAAAGCAAACUCUGUUACAUUAUGUAGCCCAAAGAGUUCUUAAACAUGAAGCUCUGGUUUUACAAAAAUGUAGCUUUGGGAGGAUCAGUAAAGGCAUUGCUUUGUCGACAAAAAAUGGAAAGAAUUUGUAAGUGCAUGUAUGUAUGUAUGUUAAAUGAUCUUUACAUCAGUUUUUUUGUUUGUUUUUUGUUUUUUGUUUUGUUUUUAAGGAGGGCAUCAUUUUUUUUCUUUGUUUCACAGAGAAAUGUUAUGUUACGGUCCUUCCCUCAAAAAGCUGGUUAAAAAAAAAGUUUUUCCCUUUUCUGCAGAUUUGAAGGCAUCUUUUCAUAAAGAAAUGACCAAACCCUGUCUGCUUCAUUUAUCCAUGUGUGGCUAUUAAAAUUGCCUGGAUCUCAAAGACUUACAAACACCUUGCCAAUAAAGUAGUAGAUUAAACAACUGGCAUUAAAAAAAAAAAAAAAAGAUAACCAGUGAAUUUCCUCAUUAGCAGACAACUAUUUGGGGUGCUUUCAGGCUUGGAGCUUUAAUAUUUGGCCACAUUUUAAGUAGACAGGCUCUGGGUUUAAUCAAAGAGUAUAUUAUAGCAGACAUGCAAUGGUCAUUCAUUUUAUCAUUUUUAAGAAAAACAUUUCAGUUUAACACAGUUUUUCCUAAAAGAACAACAGCUUUAUUUACUAGGUUUCACUUGGCACUUUUUUUGGGAAAAAUAUGAUUCAAGUUUGCAUUCUGCAGCAUUGUGGUAGCGUUCAUCAAAAAUAAAAGCUAAGCAGAAUACAAAUUACAUAUCUCUCCAUCAGAGAGAGUUGAGGCUCCAAUGUCAAGAAUAUAUUAUUGGAGGAGAGGCUUUUUGUGUCUUCACUAAUCGGAGGGUUCUUUCUGCUUUUCCUCACCGACUGAACAAGGCAGCAUGCUGUAUCUAUGAAGAUGCUUGAUGUUUCUUAGAUAAUGUGGUUUGGAAGAUGCUGUUUGCAAGCUUAUUUGCUUCUGUGUUGUGUUUAUAAGCAGAAGAAUAUAAUUCAUUUCUGCCUAUCUGCUAGACUGGACAAAUCAAGGUGACAAUCCGUGGUUAGCUCUGUCAGGCCCUUUGUCCUACGGCUGCUGUGAAUGAAAGUACAAUGGGAGCAAAGUGGAAUAUAUAACAGUCCAGCUGCCUUGUUGUGACAGCCCAGUCCCACCACUGCAGUGUGUCAGCUCGUGUCUGUGUACGGGUAGCCAGUCCAUAAGAUGACAAUGCAAAUUGUGUGAAAAGUCUUCUAUAAGAUAACAAAUCAUGUUGGGGGUUGAGGGACGGGAGGAGAGGAAAAAGGGAGGUGGGACACAUGUCUUAGAAAAAUAAUGAUCCGUAAAAGGUUAUAUUUUUGGUACAGUGAUUCCAUUCAAAUGCAGGGCCCUCAUCCCAAUUCCGGCAUGUGUCUCAAAGACGCAGGUAGGCGCUUCUACUUAAAUUUAUCAUACCAUUUCUGUGUGCAAGUUUCUGCAUUAAUGUUACUUUUAGGGCUGUUUAUAUUUCAUUUACGCAUGCAAUUAAUCAUCUUUACUGUGUUGAUGCUACUGGCGUCAGCAGUGUGACUUAAUUAAAUUUGAAAUUAUAGUACAGUAAAUACAGGCUUCCAACUAGCCGGUCCAAAUUAAAUGCUGUGGUCUAUUUCUUACCCAUGGUGUUUUCCAAUUUAAGUGUUCAUUUGAAAAGGUUACAUUUCAGACUGAAAUCAGGUUU
This 4784-nucleotide long non-coding RNA is filed under the name Sus scrofa (pig). RNAcentral's name for it is "lncRNA (ENSSSCG00000063369.1)". The record is from RNAcentral. Lineage: Eukaryota; Metazoa; Chordata; Mammalia; Artiodactyla; Suidae.